GGGCUUAUAAUAGCUGGCAUUGAUUUCUCUUUUAAGCCAUUGAGUUGGGGAUAAAUCGACGUCAGGGGAAGUGUUGUUGGGAAUAAGCUAUAUUGAUUGAGAUUUAGAUUAUAUAUAUUUUAUGCUCCUGGUUAUGACUCAAGAGGCUCAAAAGCUGAGGACUCAAUCUCGAUCUGUAGUUGGAUCUGCUCCCUUCGUUGCGGGGCAAUGGAUGAAUCUGGAGAUCUAUCUCGAUAAAGAUCUAAAACGAAUGCGAGAAGAUGAAGGAAUGGGAACGAAAUCCUUAUAGGGGACUAGUUAACUGGUGGAGUCAGUCAACGGGUGAAACUGAAACUGGAAAAGACACUGGUUCAAGGUCAUUAGUCUGGUCAACAAGCUAUCGAUCUGUAACUGGACGAAGUCAAGAAUAAAUGGGCUAUCUGUUAUAAAGUUCGGAACGAUGGUUCUCUGACUCAGUAAUUCUUUUGUUUCACAAAAUGAGUUAUAUAGGGCGAGUCGACUUUCACUCUGAUAGGGCAAUUCAUUCUACUAUAACCAAGUGGGUUUGGCAAAGCCAAAAUAUGUGACAGGAAAGGUCGUUUAGAGAAUAUAGAAUAUGGAGAGUAUAGAGAUUUCAGCUUUUCUACUUAGCUCUACAGAAAUGGAAAGCCCUAUGCAGCAGUUUAUGAUUUUCAACCUAACAGGGACAGACAGAGGCAUUGACAUAUCAAAAUAGUUUGUUUUGUCUUCUUUCCCUUUGAGCAGAUCAGAGCUGAUGACAAGAGAGAAACCAGUUGAUUAAAUUAGGGUGCCCGGGGCAUGCGCUCUAACUUUGAUAGUUGCACGAAAAAGGGUAAAGCUCGACUCAACUUAACGC
RNAcentral lists this long non-coding RNA (856 nucleotides) under Vitis vinifera (wine grape). RNAcentral's name for it is "long non-coding RNA (VVIN_LNC007718)". The record is from RNAcentral. Lineage: Eukaryota; Viridiplantae; Streptophyta; Magnoliopsida; Vitales; Vitaceae.